This 467-nucleotide ribosomal RNA is filed under the name uncultured fungus. RNAcentral's name for it is "eukaryotic LSU rRNA". The stretch from base 59 to 212 matches the Rfam family "5.8S ribosomal RNA". The record is from RNAcentral. Lineage: Eukaryota; Fungi.
UUACUACAUACUAUCAUCAGUAUCAGAAUGAGUAUCGCGAUGUAAAGCAUCAAUAUACAAUCAUCAGCAAAGGAUCUGUCGGCUGUAGCAUCGAUGAAGAAAGCAGAGAAAUGCGAUAAGUAAUAUGAACUGCAGAAUUCAGAGAAUCAUAGAAUCUAAGAACGCACCCUGUGCUCCGUGGUAUUACGAGGAGCAUGCCUGUAUGAGCGUCAUGUAAUCUUCAACCUAUGAACCUCUGCGGGUUUGUUAGGCUAGGACUAGGAGGCUCGCCGCCCCAGUUGUCGGCUCCUAUCAAAUGCAUUAGCAUGAUUCCUUGAGGAUCGGCUCUCGGUGUGAUAAUUGUCUACGCCGCGACCAAGAAGCGUUUGACGAGCUUAUAACCGUCUAGCAUGAGACAAUUCAUUGACCUCUGACCUCAAAUCAGGUAGGACUACCCGCUGAACUUAAGCAUAUCAAUAAGCGGAGGA